This 74-nucleotide transfer RNA is filed under the name Bacteroidales bacterium. RNAcentral's name for it is "tRNA-Ala". It matches the Rfam family "tRNA". From Rfam's summary of the family: Transfer RNA (tRNA) molecules are approximately 80 nucleotides in length. Their secondary structure includes four short double-helical elements and three loops (D, anti-codon, and T loops). Further hydrogen bonds mediate the characteristic L-shaped molecular structure. tRNAs have two regions of fundamental functional importance: the anti-codon, which is responsible for specific mRNA codon recognition, and the 3' end, to which the tRNAs corresponding amino acid is attached (by aminoacyl-tRNA synthetases). tRNAs cope with the degeneracy of the genetic code in two manners: having more than one tRNA (with a specific anti-codon) for a particular amino acid; and 'wobble' base-pairing, i.e. permitting non-standard base-pairing at the 3rd anti-codon position. The record is from RNAcentral. Lineage: Bacteria; Pseudomonadati; Bacteroidota; Bacteroidia; Bacteroidales. RNAcentral also lists the same sequence under 1 other name.
GGGGAUGUAGCUCAGUUGGCUAGAGCGCGUGAAUGGCAUUCACGAGGUCAGGGGUUCGAUUCCCCUUAUCUCCA